UUUCAACACAGGUCGCUCUUUAAAAAUGGUUGGAAAUUAUUGUGCGGUAAAGAAUUGCAACAACCGAUCGAAUAGAAAGGAGAAUGUACAGCUCGACGGAACACCAUUGAGUUUCUUCCGGAUCCCUACAUGGAGAAAAGCGAGGGAAAGGUCAUAGCUGAACUUACCAAACAUCGAAGAAUGGCAUGGGUGGCCUCGAUCAGAAGGAAGGGCAUAACGUUUGAUUCUCCAGUUACACACUGAGUUUGCUCUAUGCACUUCCACUCCGGGCUGCACUUCUGUCGACUGGGACGUCUGCCGGACAGCUGUUUCUGAAUUGCUCUUCGGCCCCAAUUCCUCUCUGAAGCCAGCGGACGGUUGAAAGACACUCCACAGCUCUGCACUCAGCAGGCCAAAUGCACGUCUGCUGGCCCUCCCCACCCUCAGCUAUUCUAGGCACUGCGCUGGCUUUCACUCAGCAACCACAUGCAAAAAGCCAAUGAUGGAGCAACAGGAGAAAUCGCAGCACUUGCAGAUGAGGGGAGAUCUGCAUUGUUGCAUGUUGGUUUUGUCAGCAUGGGAAUUGUGACGAUGUGUAUUUUGAUUGCCUUCUGAUGGUUAGUUACUUCAUUAGUUUAGAGAACUUUAUAAUUGCUACACGAGCAGUCAUGGAAUUUCAUAAACGUGUGGUACAUUUGCAUGGCUGAUCAAUUCUUGCUCGUGUAUUUUAUUUUUUUGUCCCUUCCUGUUGUGUUCAAAACACAAGUCCAAAAAUACCUAUAGUAUUAGAAUAAUGUUUACUGUGUGUAUGUUUUGUAUUUUUUUCUCUCUCUCUCUCUGAUCUCUCCAACAAAUUUCUUCUUUUUGUUGUUGUCACUGUCAAACUUUUCCUGAGAUUUUGUUAUUUAUUAUUUCCAUAAAGAAACAAUUCUCAGAAAUAAGUGACAU
Molecule: long non-coding RNA, 927 nt
Organism: Corythoichthys intestinalis (scribbled pipefish)
Lineage: Eukaryota; Metazoa; Chordata; Actinopteri; Syngnathiformes; Syngnathidae
Exons: 3
Source: RefSeq, a predicted model, not a curated record